GUGCGUAUAGCAAAAUUGGUAAUGCACUUGACUUUUAAUCAAGAGAUUGUCAGUUCGAGCCUGACUACGCACACCA
Molecule: transfer RNA, 76 nt
Filed under: Ruminococcus sp. YE282
Lineage: Bacteria; Bacillati; Bacillota; Clostridia; Eubacteriales; Oscillospiraceae
Description: tRNA_Lys_TTT
Rfam family: tRNA
About the family: Transfer RNA (tRNA) molecules are approximately 80 nucleotides in length. Their secondary structure includes four short double-helical elements and three loops (D, anti-codon, and T loops).
Source: RNAcentral